This 253-nucleotide ribosomal RNA is filed under the name uncultured bacterium. RNAcentral's name for it is "partial 16S ribosomal RNA". It matches the Rfam family "Bacterial small subunit ribosomal RNA", at positions 524 to 776 of the family's 1533-position model. The record is from RNAcentral.
UACGUAGGGGGCAAGCGUUGUCCGGAAUCAUUGGGCGUAAAGCGCGUGUAGGCGGUUCCGUAAGUCUGCUGUGAAAGUCCAGGGCUCAACCCUGGGAUGCCGGUGGAUACUGGCGGGCUAGAGUACGGAAGAGGCGAGUGGAAUUCCCGGUGUAGCGGUGAAAUGCGCAGAUAUCGGGAGGAACACCAAUUGCGAAGGCAGCUCGCUGGGACGUCACUGACGCUGAGACGCGAAAGCGUGGGGAGCAAACAGG